GAUGAACGCUGGCGGCGUGCCUAAUACAUGCAAGUCGAGCGAACGGACGAGAAGCUUGCUUCUCUGAUGUUAGCGGCGGACGGGUGAGUAACACGUGGAUAACCUACCUAUAAGACUGGGAUAACUUCGGGAAACCGGAGCUAAUACCGGAUAAUAUUUUGAACCGCAUGGUUCACAAGUGAAAGACGGUCUUGCUGUCACUUAUAGAUGGAUCCGCGCUGCAUUAGCUAGUUGGUAAGGUAACGGCUUACCAAGGCAACGAUGCAUAGCCGACCUGAGAGGGUGAUCGGCCACACUGGAACUGAAACACGGUCCAGACUCCUACGGGAGGCAGCAGUAGGGAAUCUUCCGCAAUGGGCGAAAGCCUGACGGAGCAACGCCGCGCGAGUGAUGAAGGUCUUCGGAUCGUAAAACUCUGUUAUUAGGGAAGAACAUAUGUGUAAGUAACUGUGCACAUCUUGACGGUACCUAAUCAGAAAGCCACGGCUAACUACGUGCCAGCAGCCGCGGUAAUACGUAGGUGGCAAGCGUUAUCCGGAAUUAUGGGCGUAAGCGCGCGUAGGCGGUUUUUUAGUCUGAUGUGAAAGCCCACGGCUCAACCGUGGAGGGUCAUUGGAAACUGGAAAACUUGAGUGCAGAAGAGGAAAGUGGAAUUCCAGGUGUAGCGGUGAAAUGCGCAGAGAUAUGGAGGAACACCAGUGGCGAAGGCGACUUUCUGGUCUGUAACUGACGCUGAUGUGCGAAAGCGUGGGGAUCAAACAGGAUUAGAUACCCUGGUAGUCCACGCCGUAAACGAUGAGUGCUAAGUGUUAGGGGGUUUCCGCCCCUUAGUGCUGCAGCUAACGCAUUAAGCACUCCGCCUGGGGAGUACGACCGCAAGGUUGAAACUCAAAGGAAUUGACGGGGACCCGCACAAGCGGUGGAGCAUGUGGUUUAAUUCGAAGCAACGCGAAGAACCUUACCAAAUCUUGACAUCCUUUGACAACUCUAGAGAUAGAGCCUUCCCCUUCGGGGGACAAAGUGACAGGUGGUGCAUGGUUGUCGUCAGCUCGUGUCGUGAGAUGUUGGGUUAAGUCCCGCAACGAGCGCAACCCUUAAGCUUAGUUGCCAUCAUUAAGUUGGGCACUCUAAGUUGACUGCCGGUGACAAACCGGAGGAAGGUGGGGAUGACGUCAAAUCAUCAUGCCCCUUAUGGUUUGGGCUACACACGUGCUACAAUGGACAAUACAAAGGGCAGCGAAACUGCGAGGUCAAGCAAAUCCCAUAAAGUUGUUCUCAGUUCGGAUUGUAGUCUGCAACUCGACUACAUGAAGCUGGAAUCGCUAGUAAUCGUAGAUCAGCAUGCUACGGUGAAUACGUUCCCGGGUCU
Molecule: ribosomal RNA, 1369 nt
Filed under: uncultured bacterium
Lineage: Bacteria
Description: bacterial SSU rRNA
Rfam family: Bacterial small subunit ribosomal RNA
Source: RNAcentral